Molecule: ribosomal RNA, 253 nt
Filed under: uncultured bacterium
Lineage: Bacteria
Description: partial 16S ribosomal RNA
Rfam family: Bacterial small subunit ribosomal RNA
Source: RNAcentral
GACGGGGGAUGUAAGUGUUAUCCGGAAUCACUGGGCGUAAAGCGUCUGCAGGUGGUUUCCUAAGUCCACUGUUAAACCUUGAGGCUCAACCUCAAAUCUGCAUUGGAAACUAGGAGACUUGAGUAUAGUAGGGGUAGAGGGAAUUUCCAGUGGAGCGGUGAAAUGCGUAGAUAUUGGAAAGAACACCGAUGGCGAAGGCACUCUACUGGGCUAUUACUGACACUCAGAGACGAAAGCUAGGGGAGCAAAUGGG